RNAcentral lists this ribosomal RNA (245 nucleotides) under uncultured prokaryote. Its description in RNAcentral is "partial 16S ribosomal RNA". It matches the Rfam family "Bacterial small subunit ribosomal RNA", at positions 524 to 768 of the family's 1533-position model. The record is from RNAcentral.
UACGGAGGGUGCAAGCGUUAUCCGGAAUCACUGGGCGUAAAGGGUGCGUAGGCGGCCGAGUAAGUCAGCGGUGAAAUUUUGCAGCUUAACUGUAACAGUGCCGUUGAUACUGCAUGGCUAGGAUUUGGUUGCUGUGGGUGGAAUGUGUGGUGUAGCGGUGAAAUGCUUAGAUAUCACACAGAAUAUCAAUUGCGAAGGCAGCUCACAAAGCCAAGAUUGACGCUGAGGCACGAAAGUGUGGGGAU